UACGAGGGGGGCUAGUGUUGUUCGGGAUCACUGGGCGUAAAGGGAGCGUAGGCGGGAGCCUAAGUUGGGUGUUUAAUUCCGGGGCCCAACCCCGGGCGUGCACUCAAAACUGGGUUUCUUGAAUAGGGGAGAGGUCGGUGGAAUUGGAGGUGUAGCGGUGGAAUGCGUAGAGAUCUCCAAGAACACCCGUUGCGAAGGCGGCCGACUGGACCCAUAUUGACGCUGAGGCUCGAAAGCAUGGGGAGCAAACAGG
Molecule: ribosomal RNA, 253 nt
Filed under: uncultured bacterium
Lineage: Bacteria
Description: partial 16S ribosomal RNA
Rfam family: Bacterial small subunit ribosomal RNA
Source: RNAcentral